Molecule: ribosomal RNA, 253 nt
Filed under: uncultured bacterium
Lineage: Bacteria
Description: partial 16S ribosomal RNA
Rfam family: Bacterial small subunit ribosomal RNA
Source: RNAcentral
UACGAAGGGGGCUAGCGUUGUCCGGAAUCAUUGGGCGUAAAGCGCGUGUAGGCGGCUCGGUAAGUCUGCUGUGAAAGUCCAGGGCUCAACCCUGGGAUGCCGGUGGAUACUGUCGAGCUCGAGUCCGGAAGAGGCGAGUGGAAUUCCUGGUGUAGCGGUGAAAUGCGCAGAUAUCAGGAGGAACACCGAUGGCGAAGGCAGCUCGCUGGGACGUGACUGACGCUGAGACGCGAAAGCGUGGGGGGCAAACAGG